RNAcentral lists this long non-coding RNA (276 nucleotides) under Lathyrus oleraceus (garden pea). RNAcentral's name for it is "Pisum sativum (pea) long non-coding RNA (PSAT_LNC024743)". The record is from RNAcentral. Lineage: Eukaryota; Viridiplantae; Streptophyta; Magnoliopsida; Fabales; Fabaceae.
AAACUUCACUAGGGAGUGGCAUCACCAAAGGGUUGAUGGAAAGGAUGAUCAUCAUCAGAGGGCUGAUGGAAAAGAAAGAUCAGGUUAUGUCCAUCAAAGGGUUGAUGGGAAAGAAUUAUGAUGUUGUGUAUGCGCAUGAUGCAUGUUAAUAAAAAAUUCUUAUUUUGUGAGAGAUUUUUGAUAUGCAACUUCCUUAUUUGGAAGGAAAGUCAUGUACGUUUAUUGUAUGCAGUGCAUGUGGUAAUGCAAGAUGAAUAUUGGUUAUUUUUUGGAUUG